GACGAACGUUGGCGGCGUGCUUAACACAUGCAAGUCGAACGGAAAGGCCCUGCUUUUGUGGGGUGCUCGAGUGGCGAACGGGUGAGUAACACGUGAGUAACCUGCCCUUGACUUUGGGAUAACUUCAGGAAACUGGGGCUAAUACCGGAUAGGAGCUCCUGCUGCAUGGUGGGGGUUGGAAAGUUUCGGCGGUUGGGGAUGGACUCGCGGCUUAUCAGCUUGUUGGUGGGGUAGUGGCUUACCAAGGCUUUGACGGGUAGCCGGCCUGAGAGGGUGACCGGCCACAUUGGGACUGAGAUACGGCCCAGACUCCUACGGGAGGCAGCAGUGGGGAAUAUUGCACAAUGGGCGGAAGCCUGAUGCAGCAACGCCGCGUGCGGGAUGACGGCCUUCGGGUUGUAAACCGCUUUCGCCUGUGACGAAGCGUGAGUGACGGUAAUGGGUAAAGAAGCACCGGCUAACUACGUGCCAGCAGCCGCGGUGAUACGUAGGGUGCGAGCGUUGUCCGGAUUUAUUGGGCGUAAAGGGCUCGUUGGUGGUUGAUCGCGUCGGAAGUGUAAUCUUGGGGCUUAACCCUGAGCGUGCUUUCGAUACGGGUUGACUUGAGGAAGGUAGGGGAGAAUGGAAUUCCUGGUGGAGCGGUGGAAUGCGCAGAUAUCAGGAGGAACACCAGUGGCGAAGGCGGUUCUCUGGGCCUUUCCUGACGCUGAGGAGCGAAAGCGUGGGGAGCGAACAGGCUUAGAUACCCUGGUAGUCCACGCUGUAAACGGUGGGUACUAGGUGUGGGGUCCAUUCCACGGGUUCCGUGCCGUAGCUAACGCUUUAAGUACCCCGCCUGGGGAGUACGGCCGCAAGGCUAAAACUCAAAGGAAUUGACGGGGCCCCGCACAAGCGGCGGAGCAUGCGGAUUAAUUCGAUGCAACGCGUAGAACCUUACCUGGGUUUGACAUGGAUCGGGAGUGCUCAGAGAUGGGUGUGCCUCUUUUGGGGUCGGUUCACAGGUGGUGCAUGGCUGUCGUCAGCUCGUGUCGUGAGAUGUUGGGUUAAGUCCCGCAACGAGCGCAACCCUUGUUCACUGUUGCCAGCACGUUAUGGUGGGGACUCAGUGGAGACCGCCGGGGUCAACUCGGAGGAAGGUGGGGAUGACGUCAAGUCAUCAUGCCCCUUAUGUCCAGGGCUUCACGCAUGCUACAAUGGCUGGUACAGAGAGUGGCGAGCCUGUGAGGGUGAGCGAAUCUCGGAAAGCCGGUCUCAGUUCGGAUUGGGGUCUGCAACUCGACCUCAUGAAGUCGGAGUCGCUAGUAAUCGCAGAUCAGCAACGCUGCGGUGAAUACGUUCCCGGG
Molecule: ribosomal RNA, 1343 nt
Filed under: uncultured bacterium
Lineage: Bacteria
Description: 16S ribosomal RNA
Rfam family: Bacterial small subunit ribosomal RNA
Source: RNAcentral